This 575-nucleotide long non-coding RNA is filed under the name Helianthus annuus (common sunflower). Lineage: Eukaryota; Viridiplantae; Streptophyta; Magnoliopsida; Asterales; Asteraceae. The record is from RNAcentral.
AUGAACAUUUCUGCUGCAUAUGUUUACUCAGCAUAUGGGCACAUGCCUUCAUUUUGUUAUGACAUUUGGAUUGUUUAACAUGGGACAAUACAUUCAUUAACAUUAGCUACGCCGUUCGUUAGUAGGUAGUGGUACCAUAGGAAUUGACAACUCCCAUUCCUGAAGUCCUGGGUUUGAUAGGACUGGAAGGAAUGACCGAAUUCGAUAUACAUAACUUAGAUAAACCUUUAAUUUUCUCAAGGCUUGGAUGUAUGCAUAGUUUACAAUACCGCAUAAAUGUUAAUAUCAAUAGAGCAUGCAUUUUCCGCAGAACAUAACGUUGAUUUAAACCACGUUUUACUUCAACGACUUGUUUUGUGCAUAUGGUUUAAGUUGAUACAUUUCGCUUACCAUACAUGAUACAUUUUGGGAUUACACAUUACAUGAUUUACAUUGAACAUAAACACGUUGACAUUGACAUAUACAUUUGGUGGUUUACACUUGAACAUAAACACUUGACAUGGAUUACAAUAACACUUGACAUUUGGUUUACACAUGAACAAUUUACAUGGUGGAUUGGUUUGGGUAAAUGAUUU